AAAGUCCAGCUUGGGCAAAGGUUAACCACCAGCCCAACACUUAAUCCCCCAUGCAAUCGGGCAACUGGCUGUGUGGAGCGGGAAGCUGGAGGUAUCGAGCCGCAACGUAAGUGAAGGGAUUGAGCCCCGAAAUAAUCAUCGUGUCGGAGGCCGAUACUGUUCAUUAAGGAGCAGGCAGCAUUCUUGUAAUCGUUAAGGUGAGAUUACGAGAACCCGACGGGGUCUAAGACCG
Molecule: non-coding RNA, 232 nt
Organism: Nitrospirae bacterium RIFCSPLOW2_12_42_9
Lineage: Bacteria; Pseudomonadati; Nitrospirota
Source: Rfam